AAGUGUGUUGGAAAGGGGUUUUGGAUUUAAUCAUAAAAUUAUGAUUAUAAGAUUCAGGAGUCGCAACCUAGUAUUAUGGUCGUUAGAAAACCUAAUGGUCUGCGAGAGUCCGGGUAUUAUGGUCGUUGGAUUUUUGACAGUAUAUUCUUGAAGGAGGAGAGCCCUGUUGAGAAGGGAAAUUUGAAAUUUGAGGAGAAAAGCCCAAAUUUGGAUGUUUAUGGACUUAAUUGGAUUUUUAAAUGAAUUUAUAGGAGAUUUGAUUGUAAGAAAAAUUGAUUUUUAAGUCAAUUUGGGCUUUAAUUAGAAGUAUUUUGAUCAAACCCUAAUAGAUAAUCAUAAACCGGUUAUGAUAUCCAUUUUUUAUAUUUUAAAUCAUGAUAAAUAUGAUUUUUAUCUCUCUUUAGAAAAUAUGCUUGAAAAACUUUUAGGAUUUGGCCGUAUGCACAAAGACAAAAUAGUUUUUUAUUUUAUUUUUUUGGAAAGAGAAAAUUAAUUUGAAUUUUUUUUUAUUUUCAAAUUUGUUUAUAAAGAAACAUUUCAGAGAAAACCGGGUAUUUUAUAAUGUAAGUCUAAAGCCUGAUAUUAUGCAAAAUAGUUGGAAAAACAUGCGAGAGGCCCACAUAUAUUUUUCAAAUGCCCUUUGAAAUUAUUGAAAUUUUCUCUUUUUUUAAAAAAAUAUGUUUUAAUAUUAUUUUAUUUUAUAAUGAAAUAUAUAUUGGAUUAGACCCAGCUCAGUCAUCUAGGCUCGGAUGAAACAGGUCCAGCCCGACUCAGUCGGGUUAGGUCGAUUGGCGGCUCAACAACCUCUCUCUCUCUUUUUUUAGGUUGGGCCAGACCUAGUCAUCUGGGCUUGGCUGAAACAGGUUCAACCCAUUGUUGUUAAUGGCAUUUUUCCAUUUGCAUGCAAAAUGUAUUGUGCAUGCAAAUGGCUAUGACAGGGGGGUUUGGAGAAGAAAAGGAAGAGGAAAGCUUGCCUAGCCAUAGGAGAAAAGUUGUUGGCGGCAUUCAUGGUGGUGGAGGGAAGUCUAGAGAGUGGUUGGUGGUAGUACCAACGGCGGAGAAAGAGGGGAAAGGUUGACAAAAAACCAACACUAGGGAAAAGGGCUAUUUUUCCCCAACUUUGGCCUCUUAUUUCCUUAUGCUCAAUGCCUAGAAUUCACCUCUAUUUAUAGAGAGUGGAAGAGGAACUUUUUGUUUUUAUUGAGAACAAAUCUUGGCCCUUGAUUCAAGCGAAAAGAUCCCAACCGUUGGAUCAAAGGUGUCAUCAUGACUUGUAAAAAUUCCUGUAGAAAAGCUAGUUGGGUUGGCCAUUUAGAGGCAACAUCAUGGCGGAUGUAAGGGCAAUAAACAGGCAAGAUUUAUGCUGGGGUAUAGUACAAUGUCAAGCCAUCAUUGUGGUGUAUGGUUUGUUUGAUUUGGUUGAGAGAUGAAAUAUUAAAUGCCCCUGAAAAGUAGACACCUGAGCAGUUUUUUUGGGCAAGAAAAAAAAAUGAUGACUAGGAUGGUUAACUUCACCGUUUGGAUUUGAUUAGUUCUAAUUGAGUUAAAAGGAAGUUUAACCUUGCUGAAACUUUUGUUUAAAUUAAGUUAGUAAGAAUAAAAUAAAUGGAAAGUGUGGUGGCUUGAUUUGUGUUUAACCAUCAAAAGCAAGCUAAUUAUGAUUUAAAUUGAAGAAAAUGCUUAGCGUCUUUCCUUAGGCAUGUUCAGCUAGAUUAUUGGUAAGGAAAAUGAAAUGGUAGACAUGACGUACAUGUGUUGCUGUUAAAUGCAUGACUUAAUGAAAAAGUGAGGACUAGAUUAUGGGGGCAAGGAAUGAGAAAUAGAAGCCCUUGUGACAAAUAUGGAUUCUAAAGAAGUUGGAUAGGCUAAAUUGGUAGUAGAAACAUGAAUAAGUGAUGAUGAUAUAUAUAAACCUUAGGAUAUUAAUGUAAAAACAAGUUAAUAGUAGGAAAAGUGAGAUAUUGGUUGUCCAAUCCAUGUAUUGGGACUAAACAGUUUGGUCACCCAACUUCAGCUAAGGUCAGGGCACCCAAAUGAUAAAUUUAAUAUUUGUGUCUUAAUAAAGGUUAUAGGUAUGGAUGUUAUCUUUUAAAAAAAACUAACCGCGCUUAAUUUGGAGUUAUAGAACUCUAGAUAACGACUGAAAAUGGAAGACGGGUCAAACUGUCUCGUACAGGACAUAUUGUGUUGAGUGCUAUAUAUAACGGAUAAUUUCAAGGGUCUUAAGGGCAGAACUGGGCUUUCUAUUCUUCAAUAGAGUUGUAGAACCGUGUCUUACCUUUCCAAGGAGUCGAGCCACACUUAAAACCGAAGUCUAUAACUUUACUUAUGAAUAAGAUGGUAAACAAUGCUCUCCAAUAAAAACUGACGUAAGGAGUGUAAUGAUGUAGUUGAAGGAAAAUAAUCGAAAAAUGAAAUUAAAAGAUGGCAACGAAUUCAUGUGAAUGAGAUUGCAAUAGUAUAAGAAUGCUGAUUGUGAUAAAAUUAUAAGAGGGUAUUCAUUGUAUCUCUUAAUUCUUAAACAUAAGAGAUACCUGGAGUAGGGUCAUCGGUAAUUGAAGGGACUAGGUCGGUUGGGGAAACAAAUAGGUGCAUCGCACCUUAUCUUUUCAAUAUGUGUAAACUUAUUGAUGAAUAUUAGAAUUUAUUGUUUUAUUGCUUUGAUAAAUAUUGGAAUGAAUAUGAGUACCCUGCGUACAUUGAUGUGUAUCAACUAGUUCUGAUAUAAUUAUGAUAAUGUUUGAAUGAACAUGUGUAUCUUGCGUACAAUGAUAUGGAUCAAGUUAGUUAGGAUAACGUUUAAACGAACAUGAGUAUACUAUGUGCAUUUCUAUGUAUCAAAUUAAUUAUGUUAUUAUUAGAAUGGAUGUGAGUACCUUGCUUACAUUGAUAGGUUUUGAAUUAGCCAUGAUAACUUUGGAAUACACGUGAUUAUCUUACAUAUCUCGGUAUGGAUUGGGCAUACAGAAUCACUUGGAGAUUAUUAUUAUUUGUUUCGAUUGACCGAUCAAUGAAAAUUCAAUUUCGAACUUCUAAUUGGAUAAGGAUACUUGUCAUUUGAGGAAUUCAUGGUGUUGAAACAAGCAACCGGAUCGUCAACAUAAGAAUUUUCAACGACUUUAAUUUUCUUGUCUGAUGGCAAUGAAGCCAAGCGAAAGUUGACGGGUUUCCAGCCCAAGAAGAGUUUUUAAAUGAUAUGUUGACCUUUCGCAUUCAGACAUGAAGGAUAUUCCGAGCUACAAAAAAACAUUACCAAUCACGUGCUAGAAAUUUUGCAUGAAACAAUUUUCAUUUCCUUACGCUGAAUCAGCCAAGUCAAGCACAAUACAUGAUCUUUAACCAAAAGCCUAGGAGAGUAACCAAUUACGAUCAAUCUCUAAGAUGACCUUUCUUCAAUCCCAAACUGACAACCAUCUCUAAAUCGUGCAAGAAAUGCUUUGAAGCGAUCCACUAGUCAUCAGCCUGGAAUUCAUUUGGCUUUGAAGCCAUCAACUAGUCAUCAGCCUGGAAUUCAAUUUUACAGCUGUCUGGAAUUUAUUUUCCAAGAAAGUUUAUCCGCGCGAAAACUUCAACUUGAUUAGGAGAAAGAAACUGCGUUUUGCUUCUAUCGGAAUUCAAGCAUCCUCUUCAAGCCUCCAACGAAUUCCUUAACAAUUAGCGUUAUUAGAUUACCAUUUUUAUCAUACUAUCCCCCAUUAUCUAGGCACGAUUAAACACAGAAUACAAAUCACACCACAGUAUAGUGCCUCAAGUUCACGUAAUUAUUGUCAUUGUACUUCAUUAUUGAGAUUUCCGAACAUUUGCAAGAUGCUUAUAGACCCUUUUUUUUUUUAGUUGAAAGGUUGUCAGUAGGAAACCUGUAAUUCUGCUACCAUGCAUUGCUCCAUAUACGAGGAUUAUAAAUAGGAGCUGUAUAAAAUAUAUAGGUGUAUCUUUAAUUUAUUUCUUUAUAGUAAUCGAGUAGAAUUAAAUUAAAAGAGCACCAUUAAGAAGAUAGUGACCGAAGGAAUAAAAACUUACAACAUAAGUAUCUAAAAGAAGGAGAAAAAUCAAACUAAUUAGUCUAGUUCAAGAUACAUUCAAGACUUCUAGUCUGAUCAGAACCUGUGUAACUAAAGUUUCUGACUGAGAAUUUCAACCAAAAGGCCAAACAUUGAAAGGUAAGAUAAAAAAUCACAUCCCAAUUAUAGACCUUGGACUCGAAGAUAACUCGAUUGCGAACUAACUAGAGUUGAGUUUUGUAAAGAGAUUGAAUUAAUGUAUAAUGUAUUGGACGCGAAUCACAGCAGCCCUUCCUUGAUAUUUAUACCUUUAGGGUUGUGUGUAAUAGAAGGGUGGAAUGUACUAUACAUGAUAAUUAUUCCUAUACAAGGUAUUUACAUAUAUAUAGAACUCUUUCCAUAAUAUGCCCCGUCAAGCUGAAGGUGGAGACUCCACCUGAAGCUUGGAUCGAAAGAAAACAAACGAAACUAGAGGGAGAGGCUUGGUAAGAACAUCAGCUAGUUGAUCCUUGGAAGAGAUGAAUCGUACCUGAAUUUCUUUCUUAGCAACGCGAUCACGAACGAAGUGAUAAUCAACUUCAACAUGUUUAGUACGUGCGUGAAACACUGGAUUAGCAUACAGGAAAGUGGCCCCUAAAUUAUCACACCAUAACGUAGUGCUGGGUGAAGACGGAAGUCGUAGUUCUGACAACAAAGAGCGAAUCCACAAGAUUUCAGCAGUACCAUCAGCUAAGGCUUUGUAUUCAGCUUCUGUAGAGGAUCUAGCAAGUGCGUUGUUUCCCAGAUUUCCAGGAAAUAGGAGUGGAACCAAGGUACACAAGAUAACCACCUGUGGAUUUUCGAUCAUCAAUACUGCCAGCCCAGUCAGCAUCAGUAAAGCCAUGAAGAGACAAGGAGGAGUCCCGAGUAAUAUGCAGACCAUAGGUGGCUGUAGCCUGAAGGUAAUGUAAGAUGCGUUUAACUGCCGCCCAAUGGUCCUCAGUAGGAGCAUGCAUAAACUGACACACCUUGUUUACUGCAUAACAAAUAUCAGGUCUAGUGAAAGUAAGGUACUGUAGAGCACCAACAAUCUGUCUAUACCGUGUUGGGGUAGAGUGAAGAGUACCAGGCACAGAUCCCAAUUUAGACGAGGGAGACAACGGAGUAUCAACUGGUUUGCAAGAAGUCAUACCUAUUCAUUGGAUAAUGUCUAGUGUGUACUUGUGUUGACUGAGUAAGAGACCCAUAGAAGUCGAUUUAACUUCUAUUCCUAGGAAGAAGUGAGCCGACCCUAAGUCCUGAAGCUUAAACUCUGAACUCAACAAAGUAAUCAGUCGUUGAAGUAAGGCCGAGUCACUCCCAGUUAAUAGAAUAUCAUCAACAUACACAAGCAGAUAGAUCAUUGCACCACCGAAAGAGAGAAUAAACAGCGAAGUAUCAACCUUGGAUGCCUGAAAUCCAAUGGAGAUGAGAAACUCACUUAACCGAUUGUACCAUGCUCGAGGUGCUUGUUUCAAACCAUACAAGGAUUUAUGAAGACGAAACACAUGAGAUAGAAGUGUAGGAUCAACAAAGCCAGGUGGUUGUGCCAUGUACACUUCUUCCUGAAGAAUGCCAUUCAGGAAGGCAUUAUGGACAUCUAACUGAUGAAUUUUCCAACCAUGUGUGACAGCAAUCGUGAUCACAAGUCUAACCAUGGUAGGCUUAACCACUGGACUAAAUGUCUCCAAGUAAUCAAUCCCCUCUUGAUGCGUGAAACCGCGGGCAACCAACCGUGCUUUAUAUCUGUCAACUCGACCAUCGGCGUGCCGCUUAAUCUUAUAAACCCACCUACUGCCUACCACAUUCAUGGAUGGAUGUAAGGGCACCAGUGACCAAGUGUGAUUACCAUGAAGUGCCUUGAUUUCCUCUGUCAUAGCAUUAUGCCAAAUCAAGUACCGGUUGGCAUCUUUGAAAGAAAGUGGUUCCUGUUGAGGUAGAGAAACUACCCGGGAGGCAGGGGAGACACUAAAAUUUGCUGUCUUGGAUACACGUGGGCGAAGUACCAUGGAGUGGGUGCGGGCAGCAGGAGGGGGAGUGGCAGACUCACUAGUCGUGGCUUGCUGAAGGGAGAAUUGAGACAAAUCAACACAUAAAUUAAGUCCAAGAGAGGAAAUAGAUGAAGAACCUGGUGAUGAAGAGCUCAAUACAGAGACAAACCGAGAAGGGGAAACAACAGGUGAGACAGUCAUAAUCUAUUCACUCCUGGGGAGACGAAUAGGGGAGCUGACAGGGGAACCAGCAGGGGUGACCUCCACACUUUGUUCACUGCUGGUGGGAACAACAGGGGAGACGGUAGUUGAACCAGCAAGAGAGAACGACAAGUCUGAACCUGUACCUGAGGAAUGAUCAUGACAGUGAUAUGCAGGUAAUGAUAAGGGUGCCCAAAGGCUUGUGUUAUGUGCAGGGGGUGUCGGGUGAGUGUUUGGAUAGGAUGAUGGGAUGGGCUCUAAAGUAGCAGCAGGAGGUUGUAUGGGUGAAUCUACAAUCUGUUCAGUUUUGUCAAGAGGGAAAACAAUUUCAUGAAAACAAGCAUGACGAGUAAGAUAAAUACGGUUUGAUGACAAAUCAAGACAUCGAUAUCCUAAAUGAGAAUUGCUAUAUCCUAGAGAGACACAAGGGGAUGAGCGAAAAUCUAACUUAUGAGCAUUGUAUGGACGAAGAAAUGGAAAGCAAAGACACCCAAAAGUACGGAGGAAAGCAUAAUCAGGAGUUGAUUUUAAAAGACAUUCAAAUGGUGUUUUAUGAUUAAAAACAACAGUGGGGAUGCGAUUAAUCAAAUAUACUAAACUUUCAAAAGCAUAACUCCAGUAUUUUAGGGGAGCUUUACAUUGGCCAAGAAGAGUGAGCCCAGUUUCAACAAUAUGUCGAUGACGACGUUCAACCAUUCCAUUUUGUUCAUGAGUAUGCGGACAAAUAACACGAUGAUGAAUACCAAUGGUUUUAAAAUAUGUAUUGAGUUUGCGAUAUUCACCACCCCAAUCUGUUUGAACAUACUUAAUUUUUAAAGAAAAUUGGCGCUCAACGAGUGCCUGAAAUUGAUGAAAUAUAGCAAACACAUCAGAUUUUGCAACCAAAGGAUACAACCUGAUAAAUUUGGUAUGGGCAUCCACAAAAAUAACAAAAUAGCAAAAACCAUCGGACGAAAACAUAGGGGAAGGACCCCAAACAUCACUAAAAAUUAGAUCAAGAGGAGCUUGAGUUUGAUGACCCGUAGUUUUUAAAGUCAGACGAGAAGAUUUUCCCAAAGGGCAUGCUGGACAAUUAAAAUUAAAUUGUUUUGACGUACAGGACACCUGUUUAGUUGACAAUAGAAAAUUCAGAAUGCGUGGACUAGGAUGUCCAAGCCGACGAUGCCAGACAUCAGUAGAAGUAGAGAUACAUGUAGACGAGAAGACUUGAGGCAACGACAUUGCAGACGACGCGGAUAAAAUAUAUAGACCAUCUUUACUCCGACCGGAAAGAAGCACCUUCUUUGUCAUGAGGUCCUUAACAUAAAAUAAAGAUGGAUGAAAUUCAAAAAACACAUUAUUCUCAAGACAAAACUUUUGAACAGAAAGUAGAGGUUUUUUAAUGUGAGGCACAUGUAAAUAUUGGAUAAGGUAAAUGUGCGUUUGGGUGAACGAAUUUUAGAGUGAGCAAUAUUAGAAAUAGUGAGGCCCUUACCAUCGCCAACAUGUAAAUGAUCAUUACCACAAUAAGGUUCUGAGCUCGUCAUACUCGCAAGGUCCGGUGUCACAUGAUGAUUUGCACCUGUAUCAGGAAACCAAGUAACAUGAGCAGUUAUAGGAGCAUUAUUAAAUGCUAAAUUGGCAUUAGCUUGUAGAUUAUGAGUAGCCAAUUGAGAGCACUGCUGGGCGGUAUGUCCAUAGUCAUAACACAGCUGACACUUUGCAGUUCGGUUAUAGCCUCCCAAUUGGUUUCCUUGCUGCCCAAACUGCUGACCAGAGCUAGAUGAAAACCGGUUUUGCUAUUGUCCAAAUUUCAGACCUGAACCAUAACUAUUAGUGCUGAAGUUGGAGUCUGAACUAUAGCCAUGAUUCCCACGAUUGUAGCUACAAUUACUCUGUCUCCAACCCCCACGAAACCGGCCCCUUCUUCCAGUACUGGAACCAAACUGACGCUGCCCAAAAAAUGCAAAUGGCUGCUGUGAUGGAGUUGGUAACAGAGGAGCUGUUACAGCAAGAUGGAGUGAAGCCUUAUGGAGAAAUUCAUGUGUGAGGAGAUGGCUAUGGAGGUCUGUGUAAGAGAUGGGAUCAGCCUUAGUGGACAGGCUGGUUACCAGAUCCUUAAAAUCACUGUGUAACCCCCGAAACACAUAUAAAUUAAAUUCGGCCAUGGAGAUUGGUCUGCCAGUAGCUGCAAGUUCAUCAAACAAGGCCUUAGCCUUCUGCAAAUAAGUGCUGGCAGAGUCAUCGUGGUGUCGUAAAUCUUGGAAUGCACUGUGGAGCUGCAUAAUCCGUGAGUUUGAAGGGGAAGCAAGGGCAGUUUCCAGCGUUGUCCAGAUUUCUUGAGAAGUUUUACAAUCCACAACUAGGUGCAGAACUUUUAUGGAGAGCGAGGAUAAAAGAGCACUCAUGAUUAGGUGAUCUUGUUGUGUCCAUAAUAAAUAUGAAGGAUUGACCGAUGGUAAGGAUGUGGUAGUAGAUAUAAGAUGAGAGGGAGGACAUGGUGAAGUGCCAUCAACAAAGGAGUACACACCUUGGCCCAAGAGAAACGGUUUCAUCUGCAUCCUCCAAUACAAGAAGUUGGUAUUGGAGAGUCAUAAGGAGAUUACCUGCUGCAUAUUAGAAAGAGGAAUGAUGGCAGACCUGUUCAUGAUAUCUAGAGAAGAGUUCAUAGGAACUAUGCUGGCAGUAGCAGCCGCUAAAGAGGAUUGAGAGAUUGGUGCAACACCAGCACCAUGUUGAAGUUCUUGGUUGUCCAUUGUCAAGAGAGAGGGAGAGGCAGACAGACAGGUGAGGGAGGAAGGGCUGAAUGAAGGGCUGAAUGAAGAUGGAAGCAGAGGAGUGCAACGGUCUAGAGGAGACGACCGAACAAUAAUCCAGAAGCGUGAAGGAAGAUUUUGUUGCUGCUCUGAUACCAAGUUGAGUUUUGUAAAGAGAUUGAAUUAAUGUAUAAUGUAUUGGACGCGAAUCACAGCAACCCUUCCUUGAUCCUUUAGGGUUGUGUAUAAUACAAGGGUGGAAUGUACUAUACAUGAUACUUAUUCCUAUACAAGGUAUUUACAUAUAUAUAGGACUCUUUCCAUAAUAACUAGAUAGAUCAAUAAAAGUCUUUGCAUAGAAGAAUAAUAUCCUAACACUGAAAAUUGCCUCUCAUCGACCUGUACCAUUCUUGAAGAUUUUGUUUAGGGUCCCUAGAUAGACAACUUAAACACCAGAACCAAUGCAUGAAUCUACCCUAAAAAUUCCACGAAAUAGUACAAUGAUGAAAUAGAUUAUUACUAGUCCAAAUCUCCUCACAAUAAAAAGGAAAACGAGCAUCCUCAUAAUUAACAAUCCCCCUCUCAGCUAAAAAACCCCUAGCGUUGAGACUAGCAUUAAGCAGGAGCCAUAUGAACACAUCAAUUUGAGGAGGUGCAAAACCUUUCCAAAGCAAAACAAAAAAAGAAGGAGCCCCUGAAGCAGACAGGCUAUCUAGAAAUUUGCAACACUGAAUAAGUGUUGGAAAUAUCAAAUUUACAUGCCUCACUAUCUUCACCUCCAGAAAAAACUAAACCACGCUCCACCGCUGCAAUUAAAAUUUCCCGCAUACAAAGCUCAUGAGACCUCAGAUUCCUCCUCCAAGUCAAGCUAACCGAAUUAUCAAUCGGGCUAUACACAUUUGUAUGGCCAACUAAUUGCUGCAGAGAAAGAUUAAAUAGUCUAGGAAAUAAAUUAUGAAGAGGAGCUGGAGUACCUAGCCAAGAAUCGAUCCAAGACCAAACGUUAGUGUCAUCACCUACCUUGAACCCAAUGCUUGAAUUAAGUCGAAUGGCUAUGCUUUCUCUUGUGGAGAAAGUCAAAACAAUGCCUCGCCAGGUUGGAGAAAAAGAAACAGAAAACACAGGAAGCCCAUUCUUGUGGCGUGCACGGCGUCGAUUGGCAGAUAUGUCUCCAAAGUGUGUUGGAAAGGGGUUUUGGAUUUAAUCAUAAAAUUAUGAUUAUAAGAUUCAGGAGUCGCAACCUAGUAUUAUGGUUGUUAGAAAACCUAAUGGUCUGCGAGAGUCCGGGUAAGGGAUUGGUUGUGCAAGGGGAAGACGUAUCACGCCUAGCACACCCUCCCUAAGGUAAGCUGCAUUGUUAUUUGAUUGUUAUUCUA
Molecule: long non-coding RNA, 10322 nt
Filed under: Populus trichocarpa (black cottonwood)
Lineage: Eukaryota; Viridiplantae; Streptophyta; Magnoliopsida; Malpighiales; Salicaceae
Description: long non-coding RNA (PTRI_LNC000228)
Source: RNAcentral